This is a long non-coding RNA of Anoplopoma fimbria (sablefish), 164 nucleotides long. RefSeq lists it as uncharacterized. NCBI's taxonomy places the organism in Eukaryota, Metazoa, Chordata, Actinopteri, Perciformes, Anoplopomatidae. The record is from RefSeq and is a predicted model, not a curated record. The transcript has 3 exons.
GAAAAAUAUCAGGUCCUACGCGGCAUUGUGGUAACGUUAAGGAGAGCAGCCACAAGAUCCACUGUGUUCUGCUGUGCAACCGCCAGUUUGGAAGUCCCUCGUCUUAUUGUAGAGAGCAGCCACAAGAUCCACUGUGUUCUGCUGUGCAACCACCAGUUUGGAAG